Molecule: ribosomal RNA, 228 nt
Filed under: uncultured bacterium
Lineage: Bacteria
Description: partial 16S ribosomal RNA
Rfam family: Bacterial small subunit ribosomal RNA
Source: RNAcentral
CGGGUGAGUAAUACGUAGGUACAUGCCUUAUUGUGGGGGACAACUUCGGGAAACCGGAGCUAAUACCGCAUAAGCUCGAAAGAGGAAAGGGGGCGCAAGCUCUUGCAAUAAGAUUGGUCUCGCGGCCUAUCAGCUAGUUGGUGAGGUAAAGGCUCACCAAGGCGACGACGGGUAGCCGGCCUGAGAGGGCGACCGGCCACACUGGGACUGAGACACGGCCCAGACUCC